GAUGAACGCUGGCGGCGUGCCUAAUACAUGCAAGUCGAGCGAACAGAUAAGGAGCUUGCUCCUUUGACGUUAGCGGCGGACGGGUGAGUAACACGUGGAUAACCUACCUAUAAGACUGGGAUAACUUCGGGAAACCGGAGCUAAUACCGGAUAACAUAUUGAACCGCAUGGUUCAAUAGUGAAAGGCGGCUUUGCUGUCACUUAUAGAUGGAUCCGCGCCGUAUUAGCUAGUUGGUAAGGUAACGGCUUACCAAGGCAACGAUACGUAGCCGACCUGAGAGGGUGAUCAGCCACACUGGAACUGAGACACGGUCCAGACUCCUACGGGAGGCAGCAGUAGGGAAUCUUCCGCAAUGGGCGAAAGCCUGACGGAGCAACGCCGCGUGAGUGAUGAAGGUCUUCGGAUCGUAAAACUCUGUUAUCAGGGAAGAACAAAUGUGUAAGUAACUGUGGACAUCUUGACGGUACCUGAUCAGAAAGCCACGGCUAACUACGUG
RNAcentral lists this ribosomal RNA (497 nucleotides) under uncultured bacterium. Its description in RNAcentral is "partial 16S ribosomal RNA". It matches the Rfam family "Bacterial small subunit ribosomal RNA", at positions 28 to 507 of the family's 1533-position model. The record is from RNAcentral.